UAGGGAAUCUUCGGCAAUGGACGAAAGUCUGACCGAGCAACGCCGCGUGAGUGAAGAAGGUUUUCGGAUCGUACAACUCUGUUGGUAGAGAAGAACGUUGGUGAGAGUGGAAAGCUCAUCAAGUGACGGUAACUACCCAGAAAGGGACGGCUAACUACGUGCCAG
RNAcentral lists this ribosomal RNA (165 nucleotides) under uncultured bacterium. RNAcentral's name for it is "partial 16S rRNA". It matches the Rfam family "Bacterial small subunit ribosomal RNA", at positions 355 to 511 of the family's 1533-position model. The record is from RNAcentral.